GAUGAACGCUGGCGGCGUGCCUAAUACAUGCAAGUCGAGCGAACAGAUGAGGAGCUUGCUCCUCUGACGUUAGCGGCGGACGGGUGAGUAACACGUGGAUAACCUACCUAUAAGACUGGGAUAACUUCGGGAAACCGGAGCUAAUACCGGAUAAUAUAUUGAACCGCAUGGUUCAAUAGUGAAAGACGGUUUUGCUGUCACUUAUAGAUGGAUCCGCGCCGCAUUAGCCAGUUGGUAAGGUAACGGCUUACCAAGGCAACGAUGCGUAGCCGACCUGAGAGGGUGAUCGGCCACACGGGAACUGAGACACGGUCCAGACUCCUACGGGAGGCAGCAGGAGGGAAUCUUCCGCAAUGGGCGAAAGCCUGACGGAGCAACGCCGCGUGAGUGAUGAAGGUCUUCGGAUCGUAAAACUCUGUUAUUAGGGAAGAACAAAUGUGUAAGUAACUAUGCACGUCUUGACGGUACCUAAUCAGAAAGCCACGGCUAACUACGUG
This 497-nucleotide ribosomal RNA is filed under the name uncultured bacterium. Its description in RNAcentral is "partial 16S ribosomal RNA". It matches the Rfam family "Bacterial small subunit ribosomal RNA", at positions 28 to 507 of the family's 1533-position model. The record is from RNAcentral.